AAAAUAAGAAUCUCACAGAAUAAAAAUUAGCAAAUAUUUAAGUGACCUUUAACAUAACAUUUUAUCAGUUGGUCAGGGGAAACUCAUUCAGCUUUUUCAUAGGUAUACAGUGACACAUUAAUUACGCUUAAUGUGAGACAUGGCUAUACUUUCCUGUGUCUUAUAAAGGGCCACGCCCAUGGAGGUCUUAAACUGCCCAGUGGCUCUCAGGUCUCCGCCCUUUGAGGGUAUGUUCUGUCAUUUCAGAUCGCUUGUGAGAAACCUUCCUCUUGGUGGAGAGAAAAGCAAGAGAGAAAGGGCCCAAACUGUAGCAACAAGGAAUAAAGACAGUAAGUUGGCUUGUCGUGAGCUGCCCUAAGGAGAAGUCCCUGUGGCAAGGAACAGAGUGUGGUCAAGCUGGCCAACAGACAACAAGGAACCGAGGCCAUCAGAGCAACAGCCAGGGAGGAACUGAUGCCUGCCAACAAUCAUGGGACUCUGUGAUGGUAGCUGCUGGCCCCAAAUUCAGCAGAGCAAGAGUACUCCCACAGAGCUGAAUAAAUCAAUGAGGUUAUUUGCAUCAUUGUUGCUAUUGUUUUUAAUGUUCUGGAGUUUUUGGACGUAUGAGAAAAC
Molecule: long non-coding RNA, 612 nt
Filed under: Mustela putorius furo (domestic ferret)
Lineage: Eukaryota; Metazoa; Chordata; Mammalia; Carnivora; Mustelidae
Description: lncRNA (ENSMPUG00000027264.1)
Source: RNAcentral